Molecule: ribosomal RNA, 97 nt
Filed under: Acinetobacter baumannii
Lineage: Bacteria; Pseudomonadati; Pseudomonadota; Gammaproteobacteria; Moraxellales; Moraxellaceae
Description: partial 16S ribosomal RNA
Rfam family: Bacterial small subunit ribosomal RNA
Source: RNAcentral
UUUAACUGAAGAGUUUGAUCAUGGCUCAGAUUGAACGCUGGCGGCAGGCUUAACACAUGCAAGUCGAGCGGGGGAAGGUAGCUUGCUACUGGACCUA